This 504-nucleotide ribosomal RNA is filed under the name uncultured bacterium. Its description in RNAcentral is "partial 16S ribosomal RNA". It matches the Rfam family "Bacterial small subunit ribosomal RNA", at positions 29 to 523 of the family's 1533-position model. The record is from RNAcentral.
AUUGAACGCUGGCGGCAGGCCUAACACAUGCAAGUCGAACGGUAGCACAGAGAGCUUGCUCUCGGGUGACGAGUGGCGGACGGGUGAGUAAUGUCUGGGAAACUGCCCGAUGGAGGGGGAUAACUACUGGAAACGGUAGCUAAUACCGCAUAACGUCGCAAGACCAAAGCGGGGGACCUUCGGGCCUCCCACCAUCGGAUGUGCCCAGAGGGGAUUAGCUAGUAGGUGGGGUAAUGGCUCACCUAGGCGACGAUCCCUAGCUGGUAUGAGAGGAUGACCAGCCACACUGGAACUGAGACACGGUCCAGACUCCUACGGGAGGCAGCAGUGGGGAAUAUUGCACAAUGGGCGCAAGCCUGAUGCAGCCAUGCCGCGUGUAUGAAGAAGGCCUUCGGGUUGUAAAGUACUUUCAGCGGGGAGGAAGGCGGUGAAGUUAAUAACUUCACCGAUUGACGUUACCCGCAGAAGAAGCACCGGCUAACUCCGUGCCAGCCGCCGCGGUAA